AGCCAUAUGCCUUCAGAAUUAACUUAGAUUCUACAUAAUUAAGGCAUAUGCCUUCAGAAUUAACUUAGACCCUACAUAAUUAAGGUAUACGCAUUUACAAUUAACUUAGAUGCUAUGGAAUUAAGGGAUAUACUUCAUAAUUAACAUAGAACCUAUAUAAUUUAGGCAGAUACCUUCAGAAUUAACUUAGAUGCUAUGGAAUUAAGGCAUAUGCCUUCAGAAUUAACAUAGAUUCUACAUAAUUAAGCAUAUGCUUGCAUAAUUAACUUAGAUCCUAUGGAAUUAAGGCAUAUGCCUUCAGAAUUAACUCAGACCCCACAUAAUUAAGGCAUACGCCUUCAGAAUUAACUGAGAUCCUAUGGAAUUAAUGCAAAUGCCUUCAGACUUAACUUACAACAUACGUAAUUAAGGCAUAUGCCUUGAGAAUUAACUUAGAUCUUAUGGAAUUAAGGCAUAUGCCAUCAGAAUUAACUUAGACCCUACAUAACUAAGGCCUAUACCUUCAGAAUAAAGUUUAAUCCCAUGGAAUUAAGGCAUAUAACUUCACAAUUAACUUAGAUACUACAUAAUUCAGGCAUAUGCCUUCAGAACUAACUCAGACCCUAUGGAAUUAAAGGCAUAUGCCUUCACAAUUAACUUAGAUACUAUGAAAAUAAGGCAUAUGCCUCCAGAAUUAACUUAGAUUCUACAUAAUUCAGGCAUAUGCCUUCAGAAUUAACUUAGAUCCCAUGGAAUUAAGGCAUAUGCCUUCACAAUUAUCUUAGAUCCGUGGCAAUUAAUGGCAUAUGGCUACAGAAUUAACUUAGACGCUACAUAAUUAAGGCAUAUGCCUUCAGAGUUAACUUAGAUGCUAUGGAAUUAAGGCAUAUUCGCUGAGAAUUAACUUAGAUCCUUUGUAAUUAAAGCCAUAUACCUUCAUAAUUAAAUUAGAGCCUACGGAUGUAAGGCAUAUGCCUUCAGAAUUAACUUAAAUGCAACUUAAUUAAGGCAUAGUCCCUCAGAAUUAACUUAGAUCCAAUGCAAUUAAGGCAUAUGCUUUCAUAAUUAACUUAGAUCCCACAUAAAAUAGGCUUAUGCCUUCUUAAUUAACUUAGAUCCUAUGGAAUGAAAGGCAUAUGCCUUCAGAAUUAACUCAGAUCCGAUAGAAUGAAGGUAUAUACCUUCAGAAUUAACUUAGACCCUACAUAGUCAAGUAAUAUGCCUUCAAAAUGAACUUAGACCCUACAUAAUUAAGGCAUAUUCGUUAAGAAUUAACUUAGAACCUAUAUAAUUAAGUCAUAUGCCUUCACAAUUAACUGAGACGCUAUGGAAUUAAGCCAUAUACCUUCAGAAUUAACUGAGACCCCAUGGAAUUAAGGCAUAAGCCUUCAGAAUUAACUCAGAUCCUACGGAAUUAAAGGCAUAUAGAUUCAGAAUUAAAUUAGAGCCUAUUGAAUUAAGGCAUAUGUCUUCAGAAUUAACUUAGAUCCUAUGCAAUUAGUGGUUUAUACCUUCAGAAUAAACAUAGAACCUAUAUAAUUAAGGCAUACACCAUCAGAAUUAACUCCGAUCCUAUGGAAUUAAACGCAUUUACCUUCAGAUUUAAACAACAUCCUAUGGAUUAAGCCAUAUGCCUUCAGAAUUAACUUAGACCCUACAUAAUUAAGGUAUACGCAUUUACAAUUAACUUAGAUGCUAUGGAAUUAAGGGAUAUACUUCAUAAUUAACAUAGAACCUAUAUAAUUUAGGCAGAUACCUUCAGAAUUAACUUAGAUGCUAUGGAAUUAAGGCAUAUGCCUUCAGAAUUAACAUAGAUUCUACAUAAUUAAGCAUAUGCUUGCAUAAUUAACUUAGAUCCUAUGGAAUUAAGGCAUAUGCCUUCAGAAUUAACUCAGACCCCACAUAAUUAAGGCAUACGCCUUCAGAAUUAACUGAGAUCCUAUGGAAUUAAUGCAAAUGCCUUCAGACUUAACUUACAACAUACGAAAUUAAGGCAUAUGCCUUGAGAAUUAACUUAGAUCUUAUGGAAUUAAGGCAUAUGCCAUCAGAAUUAACUUAGACCCUACAUAACUAAGGCCUAUACCUUCAGAAUAAAGUUUAAUCCCAUGGAAUUAAGGCAUAUAACUUCACAAUUAACUUAGAUACUACAUAAUUCAGGCAUAUGCCUUCAGAACUAACUCAGACCCUAUGGAAUUAAAGGCAUAUGCCUUCACAAUUAACUUAGAUACUAUGAAAAUAAGGCAUAUGCCUCCAGAAUUAACUUAGAUUCUACAUAAUUCAGGCAUAUGCCUUCAGAAUUAACUUAGAUCCCAUGGAAUUAAGGCAUAUGCCUUCACAAUUAUCUUAGAUCCGUGGCAAUUAAUGGCAUAUGGCUACAGAAUUAACUUAGACGCUACAUAAUUAAGGCAUAUGCCUUCAGAGUUAACUUAGAUGCUAUGGAAUUAAGGCAUAUUCGCUGAGAAUUAACUUAGAUCCUUUGUAAUUAAAGCCAUAUACCUUCAUAAUUAAAUUAGAGCCUACGGAUGUAAGGCAUAUGCCUUCAGAAUUAACUUAAAUGCAACUUAAUUAAGGCAUAGUCCCUCAGAAUUAACUUAGAUCCAAUGCAAUUAAGGCAUAUGCUUUCAUAAUUAACUUAGAUCCCACAUAAAAUAGGCUUAUGCCUUCUUAAUUAACUUAGAUCCUAUGGAAUGAAAGGCAUAUGCCUUCAGAAUUAACUCAGAUCCGAUAGAAUGAAGGUAUAUACCUUCAGAAUUAACUUAGACCCUACAUAGUCAAGUAAUAUGCCUUCUAAAUGAACUUAGACCCUACAUAAUUAAGGCAUAUUCGUUAAGAAUUAACUUAGAACCUAUAUAAUUAAGUCAUAUGCCUUCACAAUUAACUGAGACGCUAUGGAAUUAAGCCAUAUACCUUCAGAAUUAACUGAGACCCCAUGGAAUUAAGGCAUAUGCCUUCACAAUUAACUUAGACCCUGCAUAACUAAAGCAUAUGCCUUCAGAAUUAAGUUAGAUCUAAUGGAAUUAUGGCAUAUGACUUCAGAAUUAACUUAAACCCUACAUAAUUAAGGCAUAUGCCUUCACAAUUAACUUAGAUCCCAUGGAAUUAAGGCAUAAGCCUUCAGAAUUAACUCAGAUCCUACGGAAUUAAAGGCAUAUAGAUUCAGAAUUAAAUUAGAGCCUAUUGAAUUAAGGCAUAUGUCUUCAGAAUUAACUUAGAUCCUAUGCAAUUAGUGGUUUAUACCUUCAGAAUAAACAUAGAACCUAUAUAAUUAAGGCAUACACCAUCAGAAUUAACUCCGAUCCUAUGGAAUUAAACGCAUUUACCUUCAGAUUUAAACAACAUCCUAUGGAUUAAGCCAUAUGCCUUCAGAAUUAACUUAGACCCUACAUAAUUAAGGUAUACGCAUUUACAAUUAACUUAGAUGCUAUGGAAUUAAGGGAUAUACUUCAUAAUUAACAUAGAACCUAUAUAAUUUAGGCAGAUACCUUCAGAAUUAACUUAGAUGCUAUGGAAUUAAGGCAUAUGCCUUCAGAAUUAACUCAGACCCCACAUAAUUAAGGCAUACGCCUUCAGAAUUAACUGAGAUCCUAUGGAAUUAAUGCAAAUGCCUUCAGACUUAACUUACAACAUACGUAAUUAAGGCAUAUGCCUUGAGAAUUAACUUAGAUCUUAUGGAAUUAAGGCAUAUGCCAUCAGAAUUAACUUAGACCCUACAUAACUAAGGCCUAUACCUUCAGAAUAAAGUUUAAUCCCAUGGAAUUAAGGCAUAUAACUUCACAAUUAACUUAGAUACUACAUAAUUCAGGCAUAUGCCUUCAGAACUAACUCAGACCCUAUGGAAUUAAAGGCAUAUGCCUUCACAAUUAACUUAGAUACUAUGAAAAUAAGGCAUAUGCCUCCAGAAUUAACUUAGAUUCUACAUAAUUCAGGCAUAUGCCUUCAGAAUUAACUUAGAUCCCAUGGAAUUAAGGCAUAUGCCUUCACAAUUAUCUUAGAUCCGUGGCAAUUAAUGGCAUAUGGCUACAGAAUUAACUUAGACGCUACAUAAUUAAGGCAUAUGCCUUCAGAGUUAACUUAGAUGCUAUGGAAUUAAGGCAUAUUCGCUGAGAAUUAACUUAGAUCCUUUGUAAUUAAAGCCAUAUACCUUCAUAAUUAAAUUAGAGCCUACGGAUGUAAGGCAUAUGCCUUCAGAAUUAACUUAAAUGCAACUUAAUUAAGGCAUAGUCCCUCAGAAUUAACUUAGAUCCAAUGCAAUUAAGGCAUAUGCUUUCAUAAUUAACUUAGAUCCCACAUAAAAUAGGCUUAUGCCUUCUUAAUUAACUUAGAUCCUAUGGAAUGAAAGGCAUAUGCCUUCAGAAUUAACUCAGAUCCGAUAGAAUGAAGGUAUAUACCUUCAGAAUUA
Long non-coding RNA from Lagopus muta (rock ptarmigan), 4378 nucleotides. RefSeq lists it as uncharacterized. NCBI's taxonomy places the organism in Eukaryota, Metazoa, Chordata, Aves, Galliformes, Phasianidae. The transcript has 4 exons. The record is from RefSeq and is a predicted model, not a curated record.